CUUGCUCCCGGAUGUUAGCGGCGGACGGGUGAGUAACACGUGGGUAACCUGCCUGUAAGACUGGGAUAACUCCGGGAAACCGGAGCUAAUACCGGAUAGUUCCUUGAACCGCAUGGUUCAAGGAUGAAAGACGGUUUCGGCUGUCACUUACAGAUGGACCCGCGGGGUGGGGUAAUGGCUCACCAAGGCGACGAUGCGUAGCCGACCUGAGAGGGUGAUCGGCCACACUGGGACUGAGACACGGCCCAGACUCCUACGGGAGGCAGCAGUAGGGAAUCUUCCGCAAUGGACGAAAGUCUGACGGAGCAACGCCGCGUGAGUGAUGAAGGUUUUCGGAUCGUAAAGCUCUGUUGUUAGGGAAGAACAAGUGCGAGAGUAACUGCUCGCACCUUGACGGUACCUAACCAGAAAGCCACGGCUAACUACGUGCCAGCAGCCGCGGUAAUACGUAGGUGGCAAGCGUUGUCCGGAAUUAUUGGGCGUAAAGGGCUCGCAGGCGGUUUCUUAAGUCUGAUGUGAAAGCCCCCGGCUCAACCGGGGAGGGUCAUUGGAAACUGGGAAACUUGAGUGCAGAAGAGGAGAGUGGAAUUCCACGUGUUAGCGGUGAAAUGCGUAGAGAUGUGGAGGAACACCAGUGGCGAAGGCGACUCUCUGGUCUGUAACUGACGCUGAGGAGCGAAAGCGUGGGGAGCGAACAGGAUUAGAUACCCUGGUAGUCCACGCCGUAAACGAUGAGUGCUAAGUGUUAGGGGGUUUCCGCCCCUUA
Molecule: ribosomal RNA, 766 nt
Filed under: Bacillus sp. WP_Wy
Lineage: Bacteria; Bacillati; Bacillota; Bacilli; Caryophanales; Bacillaceae
Description: bacterial SSU rRNA
Rfam family: Bacterial small subunit ribosomal RNA
Source: RNAcentral